GGGGACCGCCGCUGCUAAAGCGGAGGAAGGAAUGGGCAACGGUAGGUCAGGUAUGCCCCCGAAUAUCCCGGGCUACACGCGAGCUACAAUGGUUGGUACAAUGGGUAUCUACCCCGAAAGGGGACGGGAAUCUCCUAAAACCAAUCUUAGUUCGGAUUGAGGGCUGCAACUCGCCCUCAUGAAGCUGGAAUCCGUAGUAAUCGCGUUUCAACAGAACGCGGUGAAUACGUCCCUGCUCCUU
Molecule: ribosomal RNA, 241 nt
Filed under: uncultured Methanosaeta sp.
Lineage: Archaea; Methanobacteriati; Methanobacteriota; Methanomicrobia; Methanotrichales; Methanotrichaceae
Description: partial 16S ribosomal RNA
Rfam family: Archaeal small subunit ribosomal RNA
Source: RNAcentral